GGAACAUCAUGGUGCUGCCUCGUGUCUGAAGCCAGCUGAAUCCUUACCCAGAGGAUGGGUGCUCUGUGUCACGUGAAAUACUCAUUUUCAUUUACGUUGAAAUUCCAUAAAGUCCAUAAUUUUUCUCUUCUGCCCAUCGGCCUAGGUCGACCCUCACAGACGACUGGCCCUAAAUGCGAAGUGUGAGGCAGUCACGACUGUAUUAGCGAUCUGUUGCUGCAGAGUGAAUCACCACAAAACGCAUGGGCUUGAGACAGCAAACAUUCUCUCCCCAGAGUCUGAGGGUCAGGAGUCCAGGAGCAGCUGAGCCGGCUGGUGCUGGCCCAGGGUCUCCUGACGGUGGGGUCGAGGUCGGCCAGGGCUGCAGUCGUGUGAAGGCUCGACUGGUGUGGAGAGAGCCACUGUAAGACGGCUCGCACGACUGUCCUCACCUUGCGGACCCCUCCUUGGGGCUGUUUCAGUGUCCUAGUGACCCUUGAGCCAGUGAUCCAAGACAGCAAAGCACAAGUGACAUCGUCUGUGAUGCCUGGCCUCAGAAGCCAUGUGCUGUCUCUUCCUCUCUGUUUUACUGGUUACACUGGCCGCCCUGAGACAGUUGGAGGGGACUGUCCAAGGCCACAGAUACUGGGUGGAGUCCAUCGGCCUUGGAGGCCGGCUACCCCGCUGGUGACUUGACCUCUUAACUUCUGUUUCCUGAUGCUCGACACGCCCUUGCAGAGCAGCAGUGUAAGAAGCCACUGCUCUCCGCCCCUCCGUUUGUUUUGAGAGCUUGACAGGUAGAUCAGGUGUGGCUAGUUGCUUAUCAAUUUCACUCCUGACUCUUGUUAAUUCACACACAGGUCGGGUGCUACCAGGGCUUCGCUUUCGCUUGGAGAGGUCUCCUGCGCAGCCACGCCACCGGGAAAGACAGGCACCGUCAGAACAGUUCCGGAGGCCUUUCAAGCUGAUCGGGAUAAAAAUCUGCUUUUUCAAGAAUUCAUGCACUAGCAAGUCACUUCUUUCUCAAGAUGUCGGGAAAUUUGCAACCAUGUUUGUGGAACUGGACGAGAGUGUCACACACAGACCUACAUCUGCCAGUAGCUGUGCAACUUGGGCAAAUCUCUGUCCCUAUCUGUGAAGCGGGAGGUGACUGUGCCUCUCCCAAGGCGGCAGGGAAGAGUAAUUACGGUAAUUCGCGUGAAGCAGUUAGCAUAGGGCCUGGCAUACAUCAAGGCAUUUUAAAUGUUUUCAUUCAUGUAUGUAUUUGUUCUCAUGCAGAAUGAAGGCCAUGUGAUGCAUGCUGUAUGUGGAAUUAAUUAAACAUUUCGCUUUAUAUUCAGAAAGAGAAGUUUAAAAACGGCUUCAUGGUCUAUAAACUCACUUUUAUUUGCUGACUUGUGAGCUGUGUGGAUGUGAGAUUUAAAUCUUAGAAAGCACUUAUGAAUGCAUUUUUAAAAAGCUUAACCACAUUAAUCUUCUUCCUUCUCACCCUGCACAGAGAAUAAAAAAGUUGAUUAAAAAAGGAA
Molecule: long non-coding RNA, 1505 nt
Organism: Pteropus alecto (black flying fox)
Lineage: Eukaryota; Metazoa; Chordata; Mammalia; Chiroptera; Pteropodidae
Exons: 2
Source: RefSeq, a predicted model, not a curated record